RNAcentral lists this ribosomal RNA (468 nucleotides) under uncultured bacterium. Its description in RNAcentral is "partial 16S ribosomal RNA". It matches the Rfam family "Bacterial small subunit ribosomal RNA", at positions 28 to 507 of the family's 1533-position model. The record is from RNAcentral.
GACGAACGCUGGCGGCGUGCUUAACACAUGCAAGUCGAACGGAAAGGCCCUGCUUUUGUGGGGUGCUCGAGUGGCGAACGGGUGAGUAACACGUGAGUAACCUGCCCUUGACUUUGGGAUAACUUCAGGAAACUGGGGCUAAUACCGGAUAGGAGCUCCUGCUGCAUGGUGGGGGUUGGAAAGUUUCGGCGGUUGGGGAUGGACUCGCGGCUUAUCCGCUUGUUGGUGGGGUAGGGGCUUACCAAGGCUUUGACGGGUAGCCGGCCUGAGAGGGUGACCGGCCACAUUGGGACUGAGAUACGGCCCAGAAUCCUACGGGCGGCAGCAGGGGGGAAUAUUGCACAAUGGGCGGAAGCCUGAUGCAGCAACGCCGCGUGCGGGAUGACGGCCUUCGGGUUGUAAACCGCUUUCGACUGUGACGAAGCGGGAGUGACGGUAAUGGGUAAAGAAGCACCGGCUAACUACGUG